AAAUGGCACCCAUGAAAAAAAAAGAAUUACCUAAUUACAUAACAGAGAAGUACGUAGCAUUUACCCAUUCCAAAGUUUAAAAUUAUCAAGUGGACUAUUUAUAUUUUGGCUCCAGUUUUCUUAAAGACAAACAUCUAGGAGUACUUUUAAAAAUAUACAUGGAGUUAUUUCCUAUUACAUAUUUUUUUUAUUCUCUCUCUCUCUCUCUUCUCACUAUGAUCGAUUUGCUUUCUCUUUUAUAGAAUAGAAAAGUCCAGCGUACAUGUAGUAGCUAGGGUCGAAUACAUGAAAAGAAAUAAAAGCCAGUGACCAGGGCGCUAGCUCAACUCUUUGCCUAUCCUUUAAUCCCAGCCAUGUGUUCCUUCUUCCUUGUGUGCAGCAAGAUCCAGCCGCUUUUUUUAUUUCAACAAGUGAGCGGACUAGAAAACAACGUAUAAUGCUCUCCUUUUUGUAGCUGAACAUACACAUCAGGCGAAGUCGGCCUGCAACAAUGGCCAUUUUUCAUCAGAGGAUAAACACAAAAACAGAUGUCAUGAAAUCAUGUUCUUUCCGCAUACAAAGGAGUAAACAUCAGUUAUUCAAAAAUCAAAAUAACACAAGUACGAAGCAAGUGAUCACACAUUUUGCACAUGCAACAAAGUGUAGAUGUUCAGUUAUUUAGCUCCAUCUGCAUCAUGCAACGCUCCUUUCCGUCAGUUAACUUAGUAUCCAUCAAGUGUUGUUUUUGUUUGUCAUUUAACUCUUGUGUUCUUGGGCGUCAGUGCACACAACACACAGAAGGCCAGUAGCGGCAUGCUCGGGUAAGCCGGCGGCAGCGCGCAGGGGAUUCAGAGCUGAGGUGCAUGGCGAGUGUCGGUGUGCUAGCGCUCCAGGCGUGCGGCGGCUAGCUGCAGGGUACAGGUGCGUGGCGACUUAGGUGAAUGGCCUGCAGUGGCGUCGGUGAACGGCCGAACACUAUACCAGCAGAUUCCCACCGGGAAUAGGCGAAAUGGUGGCAGGGGAGCCUCGCUGAUGGAUUUGCCCAGAGGAGGUCCUGCUUGCGCCAAACGGGAGACGGCACCAGCGGCGCAUGGGGUGUGGAGACGUAACCGUUGAUUUCUCGUAGCUCGGCAACGUCGUGCGAUAGCAGCACAUGAGGAGCCAGGGGCAAGGGAAGGUGAUGAGGCGGAGGAUCCAGGGGAGCUCGCCGGAGGUAGAGAAGUAGAAGAGAAAGGCAUAGGGCGGGAGGAGGCUCACCGGAGGGAAGGGGUACGGGCUUGACCGGAUCCGCGUCAGCAGUAAGCGGGGGACUGCGUGGGCAGGCGACCGAGGACUGCACGCCAGUUUGAUGGUGUUCGGUGAUCCCCGGCGACGGCGGUUAGGGCGCAGACCCGCGCGCAGCCAUGGCGGAAGUUCGGCGGCAGAAUCUCGGUGGCACGCAAAGAAGGUGGGCGGCGCACAGGGAACCGAGACUAGUAGGUCGGGGGCCUGCGGUGUGCUGGGUAGGUCGGGCGGCGGCGCGCUAGGAUGGCCGGGCGGCGGUAGAUCGGGGAUGUGG
RNAcentral lists this long non-coding RNA (1537 nucleotides) under Triticum aestivum (bread wheat). Its description in RNAcentral is "long non-coding RNA (TAES_LNC018269)". Lineage: Eukaryota; Viridiplantae; Streptophyta; Magnoliopsida; Poales; Poaceae. The record is from RNAcentral.